Molecule: ribosomal RNA, 418 nt
Filed under: uncultured bacterium
Lineage: Bacteria
Description: bacterial SSU rRNA
Rfam family: Bacterial small subunit ribosomal RNA
Source: RNAcentral
GAUGAACGCUGGCUACAGGCUUAACACAUGCAAGUCGAGGGGCAGCAUUUCAGUUUGCUUGCAAACUGGAGAUGGCGACCGGCGCACGGGUGAGUAACACGUAUCCAACCUGCCGAUAACUCGGGGAUAGCCUUUCGAAAGAAAGAUUAAUACCCGAUGGUAUAAUCAGACCGCAUGGUCUUGUUAUUAAAGAAUUUCGGUUAUCGAUGGGGAUGCGUUCCAUUAGGCAGUUGGUGAGGUAACGGCUCACCAAACCUUCGAUGGAUAGGGGUUCUGAGAGGAAGGUCCCCCCACAUUGGAACUGAGACACGGUCCAAACUCCUACGGGAGGCAGCAGUGAGGAAUAUUGGUCAAUGGGACGGGAGUCUGAACCAGCCAAGUAGCGUGAAGGAUGACUGCCCUAUGGGUUGUAAACUUC